ACCCGCUGAACUUAAGCAUAUCAAUAAGCGGAGGAAAAGAAACUAACAAGGAUUCCCCUAGUAACUGCGAGUGAAGCGGGAAAAGCUCAAAUUUAAAAUCUGGCGGUCUCUGGCCGUCCGAGUUGUAAUCUAGAGAAGUGUUAUCCGCGCUGGACCGUGUACAAGUCUCCUGGAAUGGAGCGUCAUAGAGGGUGAGAAUCCCGUCUUUGACACGGACUGCCAGGGCUUUGUGAUGCGCUCUCAAAGAGUCGAGUUGUUUGGGAAUGCAGCUCAAAAUGGGUGGUAAAUUCCAUCUAAAGCUAAAUAUUGGCGAGAGACCGAUAGCGAACAAGUACCGUGAGGGAAAGAUGAAAAGAACUUUGGAAAGAGAGUUAAACAGUACGUGAAAUUGCUGAAAGGGAAACGCUUGAAGUCAGUCGCGUUGGCCGGGGAUCAACCUUGCUUUUGCUGGGUGUACUUUCCGGUUGACGGGUCAGCAUCAAUUUUGACCGUUGGAUAAAGUCUGAGGGAAUGUGGCAUCUUCGGAUGUGUUAUAGCCCUUGGUCGCAUACAACGAUUGGGAUUGAGGAACUCAGCACGCCGAAAGGCCGGGUACUUGUACUACGUUCGUGCUUAGGAUGCUGGCAUAAUGGCUUUAAUCGACCCGUCUUGAAACACGG
RNAcentral lists this ribosomal RNA (659 nucleotides) under uncultured fungus. Its description in RNAcentral is "eukaryotic LSU rRNA". It matches the Rfam family "Eukaryotic large subunit ribosomal RNA", at positions 23 to 664 of the family's 3401-position model. Lineage: Eukaryota; Fungi. The record is from RNAcentral.